Molecule: unclassified non-coding RNA, 348 nt
Filed under: soil metagenome
Description: partial contains 5.8S ribosomal RNA, internal transcribed spacer 2, and large subunit ribosomal RNA
Rfam family: 5.8S ribosomal RNA (bases 1-120)
Source: RNAcentral
GAUGAAGAACGUAGCAAAAUGCGAUAAGUAAUGUGAAUUGCAGAAUUCAGUGAAUCAUCGAAUCUUUGAACGCACAUUGCGCCCGCUGGAAUUCCGGCGGGCAUGCCUGUUCGAGCGUCAUUUCAACCCUCAAGCCCCCGGGUUUGGUGUUGGGGAUCGGCUCUGCCCUUCUGGGCGGUGCCGCCCCCGAAAUACAUUGGCGGUCUCGCUGCAGCCUCCAUUGCGUAGUAGCUAACACCUCGCAACUGGAACGCGGCGCGGCCAUGCCGUAAAACCCCAACUUCUGAAUGUUGACCUCGGAUCAGGUAGGAAUACCCGCUGAACUUAAGCAUAUCAAUAAGCGGAGGA